AGAGUGAACGCUGGCGGUAGGCCUAACACAUGCAAGUCGAACGGCAGCACAGGAGAGCUUGCUCUCUGGGUGGCGAGUGGCGGACGGGUGAGGAAUACAUCGGAAUCUACCUUUUCGUGGGGGAUAACGUAGGGAAACUUACGCUAAUACCGCAUAAGACCUUCGGGUGAAAGCCGGGGACCUUCGGGCCUGGCGCGGAUAGAUGAGCCGAUGUCGGAUUAGCUUGUUGGCGGGGUAAAAGCCCACCAAGGCGACGAUCCGUAGCUGGUCUGAGAGGAUGAUCAGCCACACUGGAACUGAGACACGGUCCAGACUCCUACGGGAGCAGCAGUGGGAAUAUUGGACAAUGGGCGCAAGCCUGAUCCAGCCAUACCGCGUGGGUGAAGAAGGCCUUACGGGUUGUAAAGUCCCCUUUGGUUAGGGAAAGAAAGUCCGUAGCCGGUUAAGUAACCAGUAAGGAUCGACGGUAACCC
Molecule: ribosomal RNA, 473 nt
Filed under: uncultured soil bacterium
Lineage: Bacteria
Description: bacterial SSU rRNA
Rfam family: Bacterial small subunit ribosomal RNA
Source: RNAcentral